Molecule: ribosomal RNA, 427 nt
Filed under: uncultured bacterium
Lineage: Bacteria
Also listed under: 1 other name
Description: partial 16S ribosomal RNA
Rfam family: Bacterial small subunit ribosomal RNA
Source: RNAcentral
UGGGGAAUAUUGCACAAUGGGCGCAAGCCUGAUGCAGCCAUGCCGCGUGUGUGAAGAAGGCCUUCGGGUUGUAAAGCACUUUCAGCGAGGAGGAAGGGUGGUGUGUUAAUAGCGCAUCACAUUGACGUUACUCGCAGAAGAAGCACCGGCUAACUCCGUGCCAGCAGCCGCGGUAAUACGGAGGGUGCAAGCGUUAAUCGGAAUUACUGGGCGUAAAGCGCACGCAGGCGGUUUGUUAAGUCAGAUGUGAAAUCCCCGCGCUUAACGUGGGAACUGCAUUUGAAACUGGCAAGCUAGAGUCUUGUAGAGGGGGGUAGAAUUCCAGGUGUAGCGGUGAAAUGCGUAGAGAUCUGGAGGAAUACCGGUGGCGAAGGCGGCCCCCUGGACAAAGACUGACGCUCAGGUGCGAAAGCGUGGGGAGCAAACA